Long non-coding RNA from Diceros bicornis minor, 8811 nucleotides. RefSeq lists it as uncharacterized. Lineage: Eukaryota; Metazoa; Chordata; Mammalia; Perissodactyla; Rhinocerotidae. The transcript is spliced from 9 exons. The record is from RefSeq and is a predicted model, not a curated record.
CAGGGACUCCUCAGCUAGAGAAGUUUUCGGGUAAAGACGUCUGGAGCCCUUUCUCCCCGCUACUGACUCCUGUGAAGGCUUCCCGUCACGGAGCCAAAUAGAAAAGUAGGACUUUCAUGCUGCUUUAUGUGAACAUUCUUUCCUGCAAUAGAGAAUAAAAAACUAGGAAAGAGGUAGCUAACUCAAGGAAGUUGUCUUCUCUGCAUCAGAGGAGAGCACGGGGCUGAUAAUGACCUGCUCGCAAAAAUAAGGAGCUGGAGACCAACGGCACUUGAGUGGUUAUCAGUGGUUAGCACGUCACUCCCAAUCUGCGUCUUUGGCUGAAUGCUCAACACGUGACGGACCAAGUCCCUGUUCAAGAAAAAGAAAGCUCAGAGCCAAUGUGAAUUGAAAGCACUCUCCUUGUCCCUGGGUUUCUGGGUCAAGAAAACUCUUUCCUGAAGUACGGAGCUGGCUUUAGACGCAAGUAAAUGGCAGACAGCACAAGUCUUCCACGGGGUCAGCAGCUCUGCAGGUUGAUGGAUUUGUUCUAUCCCCAGUAAUAACAACAAGGUGUUUUUCCUUCAAAUGUUUCACCUGGGAACCCGGAAAAAAAGUGUAUGUUGCUAUGGCAACAUCAGAAAGGGAAUUAGCACCCGAAGAAACUCAACCUGUCUGAAGCCUGAGGCUGUGCCCAACCUUCAGCAGUCCAUGAGGAAGUCAUCUCACAUAACCAAGAGGAGGACGCUUCUUGGGGUGUCUGCUGCAAUGCCAGCCCCAGAGUUCCACCCUGGUCUAGUCACCAACAUCAGGGGGCAGGCACACCUGUCAGCCAGGAGUCGGCAUAUGGAACUCAAAGAAAACUUAUCAACUCAUGUUUCGGCUACAAGUACAUUGCUGUGGCAUUGCAGCCAGUCCUGAGUUCUCACCCGUAUUCUAAGUCUCAACCUCUGUUGUUGGCCAGAUUCUUGCACAUUUUGCUGCUGCUUAAAGGAAGGAGAUUGGGAUUCAAAAUCCAUCUGCCCAAACAAGUACAUGUCAAAAAUGGGUUGGAUGGGAUGGCAGGGGGACUCUUCUCACUGAAGUUUCUCUGAAGAUUCCAUCUUCUUGUGAUGCUCCCCUUGCCAUGUGCAACCGCCAUGUACUUCCGUUGUUACUGCAUCAGGAGAGGAGAGUGCUGGAAAGUCAAACACUGGCAAUUACAUAUGUUGGCCUAGAAGUGACAUUUACUUCUGCUCACAUUUCAUUGGCCAAAACCAGUCGUAUGAUCUUAUCUAACUUUAGAGGGGAUAGAAGUGUCAUGCCACAAGAACUUAUUGAACUUUAGUAAUGCCAGCCAUAGGUGGUAUUACUGAAUUUCAUUGAUUCUAAGUUGCAUUUUUUUUCCGUUUUAGUAUCUCUGAAAUUGGGAUGCAUUGCACAAUCAAUAUCAUUUUCCAAUCACCAUAAGCCACUCUUUCAAAUUUUAUCUCUGAAACCAGAAUGUAUUUUACAAUUGGUGACAUCUUAGAUUUGAUGAUAAUAUGGUAUUAUUGCUAUUCUUCCCACAGGCUUGGCCUUCGGUGAUCCUGAGGAACCUUGACUGGGGUGGAGUGUGUAACCCCAGUCGUGCUAAUGUCCUAAUUGUAGUUGUGAGCUAUAGUCUAAGGCCUUCCUCUCUGCCUUCUUGAAUUUUCUUGUACCGUUUGUGUGGGGUCAGUGGGAGGAGAGUUUUUUGAGGCUUUUUCACACCCCUGGGAAUGACAGUCCUCUUCUCCUUUGCCCUGACAUUGGACCCCAGUUCUGGGACAAGUCUUUGAGGCUAUAAAGGCCCGUAAAAGCUUACAAGACAGCAGUUUCCUCAAUGGCGGUGACGGCAUCUUUUCUGUCUGUCCCAAUAAUCUCCUAGACAUCCAAAGUCUUGCUCUGACGUUGGACCCCAGUUCUGGGACAAGACUUUGAGGCUAUAAAGGCCCAUAAAGGCUUACAAGACAGCAAUUUCCUCAAUGGCAGUGACAGCGUCUUUUCUGUCUGUCCAAACAAUCUUCUAGACAUCCAGAGGGUCAGGAUAAAUGCUGAUUUAUGAUUCAAAGAUCCUAUUCCAGUAGCUGAAGAAGGAUGACCAUCAGCCUCUGACUGGGCCAGUGUCAUGCUCUCUUGCUUUUGAGGUUGACGGCUUCUUUACCUACAUCCCACUCAUUGCCUUCCAAGUCAUUGCCUUGAGACAUCAGAUACUGCCUUCUCUCUCUUUUCUGGUCUCCUCACCUAUAGGCUCCUAGAAUGUUUGCUUUGCACACCUGUGCACUCAAACGAUAAUGGCCAAUAAGAAGUAGGAAGAGAGACUGAGGGGUUGGAGAGGAGCAGGGAAUAGAAUGGAGGGUGGACUGAAUCUCAGACUGAAGCCAUCUGAUGGCUGAAGUAGGAAGAAGAAAGCACGGGUCUUCUCCAUAGUUUAUGCCCAAACUAUGUGGAUCUCCUGGGCUCUAGAUCAUGCAUCAUAGUACUUUGUACACAUUACCAUAAAUAACAUGAUUUUUUGGCAAAAGGACUGAGAUUAAUCUUCUACACUAUUCUCAUUUACAGCCCAGGGAUCCUUUCAUGUAUAAUUUGGUGUUUAAAUCCCCCCAUUAUAGCCAAUAUAAUGACCUUUAUGGGGAUUAAUGGCUGAAUAAAAGGCUCCCAUGCCUUUUUUGGGAGCUUCUUGGUAACACGUCUGAUUCUCAGCUAGACCCAACUCCCUAGCAUUCUUGCCUGCUUGGAGACCAGCUGGGGCUAACCCUGGGGCCAGAGAGCUCUCUUCUCCCAGGCUUGAGUGCUAUUGGGAAGUUUGGGGUUAGGUUCUUGUCCAGAGCCUUCUUAGCUUGUGGUCCUACUCCGAUUUCCUGGGUCUUGACAUUUUUCUUCUCCUCUAUUUUUAACGUGAUUCACUCAUUUAAAUUUUGUUGGAGGCCAACUUUGAAUACCAUGGAGUUUGUCGGCCACUCCCUGGUGGCUACUGGGUCUAGACAUGCCUGGUGCCUCGCCAGCCUCCUCCCACCCCAUAUGACAUUUGUGCUCUGAAAGAACUGCAUCUCAGGCUUUGCUUUGACUCUCCUCCUGGCUCCUUCAGGCUGCUGCCCAGUCGUAGUCUCCUGCUGUUGACUCCAAAUGGGUUUGCUCUGGUCCCUUCCUGCUGCUGCCCCUUGACGGUAUGGAAUGUUUCUUUGCUUCCUUGUGUUCCGAGGGCAUACCACAGGGCACAAAGCACUGCUGAUGCAUUCCCAGCCCAUGCUGCCACCACCUGAUUCUGCCAUUGUCUCCAUCCCUCCUCCCAACAUCAACAGUCCUGCCCCGGCUCAGCCACCAGCAAGCUCCACAGUCAUGGGCGCCGGUCACAGUUCUUGUUCCUUUUCUCAUUCCAACCUGCCUCUGUUCAUUACACAUUUGAAUGGUGCCACAGCUGGCUUUGGAGUUGGUCAGAAUUGGGCUCAAAUAUUGGUACUAACACUUAUUUUACUGAAGUCAGUUUCCUUAACUUUAAAAAUUGAGUAUAGCAAUGCCCAGUCAAGCACCCACCAUACAGUUUGUGCACAGUAUUAACUGUUAGUGUGUUAUUAAUGUGGGAAGUAGAAUAAUUGUGGUAAAGUUCAUGAGAUUUAGAGCCAAACAGACUUGAGUUCAGAUUUUGCCUCAAGGCUUAACCAAUGUCAGUUUCAGUUUCUGACUCCCAGCCUGGUGCUCUCAGUAUUUCUUUGGGCUCCCUUUCCACAUCUUACUGUUCAUGUUGGCAGAUGGGGACCUAGCCAACUCCUUGGACAGACCAUUGUAAACUGCUGCAUCUGAAUAAAGGGUUGAUUAUUAUUGCAGGGGGGAGGGUGUGUGAAUAAUUGAUAGUCACUCAGUCCAGACCCUUAACAGGAGAAUACUGCCUCUGCAUGGCUCCAGGCAGCCCCAGCUUGCCUGGGCUCAGACUAUUUUUUGAAGAAGAGCUAGUGACAGAGGUGGGGACUGACUCCUUAGUGACAAAGAGUGAUGGGAAAGUUAAUAAGGUGUUUGGAAGAAAAAGUGCCCUCUCUCUCUGGACAAAGAAAGAGGUAAGAACCACCAUUUGGUUGGGCUGGGAUAGAAGGGAUGAGCUCAUAGGACUUUGGAAAUUUGUAACCAGAUUGUCUCUUUGCUGAGAAAGCAAGCCAGUGAUUCAGCAGUUUUCUCAAAUCAGCAGAAGGAGAAGGGCUGAGAGUGUCAGAGAUCAUGAUUCUGAGGGGAGCAGGUUAUCUUUUUUUUGGAGACUUGACAGCAGUCAGGCUAGAGAGAGAGAAGUUUAGCAUGGAUAAUGGAAAUUCACAUAGAAUCCUCCGUCCUGGUUGUCAAUAGUGCUGACCACAGCCUCUCACGCAGUGAGUCUUUCGUCAGAGCUGUUCAAAGGCAGCAACAAUGAUCGCUUUGAUUUCAUCUGGUUUCAUUUCCUCUGUCCCCCUUGAGGGGAGCUGCAAAUAAACUAGGGACCAAGCUAAAAGAUGAGCUGGCAAAGCAGGAGAGAGGAGCUAGUUGGUCGGGCCCUGGGUUUUGAGCGGGAGGAGUAGCUGGUGCCACAGAGAGGGCUGGGAGCAGCUCAUACACUCCCGCCUGUCCCCAAAGGUACACAGGCUCACUUCUCCCUGGUUAUGUGGGUCAGGUGGGUUCCAUACACGAAGGACUUUCACGCUUCGUGUAAACCUUUUGAGUAUUGUAGAAGCACAGUGUUCCACGGUAAGACUCAAAUUCCUGAAGUGUCCUGCUUUAACUGCAUCAUAAUGUGAAUUGCGUUUGGAGUGGACUAGGGAGAAUUGCCUUUUAAGAGCUUUUAUGUGAACCCUUUUUAGAAGUAGAGAAAUCAUUUUUAAAUUAUCUUUUUGUAAAACUCUGCAUUUUCCAAUUAUUCAGUGUGUAUGAAAUCUCCCUUUGCCACCCUGCUUCCGAUUUAGUCCUCUAAGAAAUUCUGAUAGCUGCAAAUUUGUAAUUCUCAAACCUUGUUUUUAAAAAUAGUCAUGUAAUUUCUCUACAAAAUGGUAGAAUUUGAAGGAAUUCUGGAUGUGCUUCCCGGCUUUCCCAAAAGGCCUUUCUUCACCAGGGGACCCGCUGCAGAGAGUGAGGCUGUGCAUUGAUGACAGAGAGGGCUACCCCAGAGAGCUGCAGGAGCGAAGGAGGCAGAAAUACUUGCCAAAUGCACAAAAAGAAAAGUUAAUAGGACAAGACCCCUGGGUUAGAAACUCACGGUGCUCAAUCCCAAGGGGCAGGGAACUUGCUCUUCAGAUGAUCUUGCUGUGAAAAUUUCAAAGACUCAAGGGGAUUUAUUAAUAGUUGGGGCAUUGAAACCUUGCAGCAUUGCCCUUUUCAAUAGUAAAUUGUCUUUUAAAAUAUCUAGAACUCGUACUUAAUGUUCUUUACGGAUUUAAACCAGGCAAGGAGGCAGUAAAUCAGAUUAUCAUCAUCCUUGGGAAGAAGAGCAAUCUGGAAUGUUAAUUUUCCAGCUAAAAUUACUGAAAGUUUCUUUUGGGUUUGAUUUUGCUUUGUUUUUUGCAGAGAGAGAAUAAAAGAGGAGAAAGCCAAAGGUAAAAAGUUAUUUUCAGGAAAGCAUGUAUUCCAGGUUUCCAUUCUUUUUUUUUUUUUUUGGUGAGGGAGCUUGGCCCUUAGCUAACAUCUGUUGCCAAUCUUCCUCUUUUUGCUUGAGGAAGAUUGUCGCUGAGCUAAUAUCUGUGCCAGUCUUCCUCUAUUUUGUAUGUGGGAUGCCGCCACAGCAUGGCUUGAUGAGUGGUAUAUAGGUCGGUGCCCAGGAUCUGAACCUGCGAACCCAGGGCCACCAAGGCAGAGCGUGUGAACUUAACCACUACGCCACCGGGCCAGCCCCUCCAGGUUUCCAUUUUUGUAACUUGGUGAGUUAUAACUUAUUGUCUCUUGUAUUUCCCAUGAAAGUAUAAAAGUCCAGAGAACCACUUUCAGUGGUGCAAGGGAUUUUGUCCCCAUAUGGAGUAUGGACUGUAGGGAUUUGUUUAGGGAUAUUAGCCACCCUGUAAUCAGAGAAGAGAUUUCCAUUCUCUUCUGGAGAAGAGAAUGGAGACUGCCAUUUCCAUGGCAGAUAAAUUUAAGGUCAUGUUUCAUAGCUUAUUGACUGUGGCUAUGUUGGAAAAUGCCUUAAUGGGUUUAUUUAUUUUGAUAUGUGUUAUUCUUUACAAAUGCAAACUUCUCAGAACAUGGCUGUUGACCAGUUUCUCUUGUGGUGACUGCAGGUCAGGGAGGAGAUCUACUCAGGGGAAGGGCCUGGAGUUGGGUGCCAGAGAGACCCAGAUUCAAACUGGCUCUGGCACUCAUUGGCUCUGUGGUCUUGGAGCCAGUGAGUGCUUGAAGUCUCAGCUUCUCACUUAUGUAUGUGGAAUAAUGGCAUUGGCCUUGAAGAAUGGUGUGAGGAUGAGAGUGUGCAUGUAUGAAAUGCCCAACAAAGUGUCUGGUGGUUAGUCUAUGACUUCAUGGAUAUGGGAUUGGCCCAAUCCAGCAACAUUUUCUGCUGGAAAUUCCCCCCGACAACCUGGUUUAGUGAGACUGAUGAUUGAAGUUGGAGGGAAGAAAAUUAACUUAUUCAUGAGUAGAAAUAUCACAUACGCAGAAUGCCAAGUCCCCUCAAAGACCUUGAAAUAUCAAUUCCAGCUCCCUUUUGUGGGAAAUGCUGUAGGAGUUUUAAACACAGACUCUGCAGUCUUCCCUGGAAUCACAGGAGUUGUAGGCUAAUUACUGUGUCAGAGGAGUGCCUCAUGAGUAAUGGUGGCACUCUGAAUUGACUCUUGGGAUAAUUAAUCAGCAUAACUUUGUGAACCUUCCAUGGCCUUCUUUUCUCAGCAGCAACAACUUGAUUAGUUUGGACAUAUAAUAAUAGUUUGGUACUUAAACAGAACUGGCUUCAUAGUGCUCAUUUUCAUGAUAUUCAAUUUCUUCUUCUUGAAUUUUUUUAACUUUUAAUUUUUAAAGACCUGAAAAUUCUUCUUAAAAAUUCAGAGAAUCUUUAGGCUUUAGUUUUGAUCAUUUGUGUGUUAUAAUUCAUGGAUAGAAUUUUAUCCCCUCUAGAGGGGACACUGCUCUGCAACCACUGUCAAACUCUAUUUCUUAUCGCUGGGCUCUUCCUGGCCUUAAAUAUUUGAGGCAGAACCAGUGAUAUUCUAUCACACUGAUAAAAGGGGCAGAUUUAUGUAGUUAAGAGAGCACUAGACUUAGGGUGACCAAGUGGGUAUCGGUUUGUCUGAGACUUUUCCUGUUUUUGCACUGAAAGUCUGAUAUCCUGGGAAACCUCUCAGUCUCAGGCAAGCAGAGACAGUUUGCCUGGACUUGUCCUGCUUUAAAAAUGGAAAGUUUCACGUCCUGGGAAACCUUGGGCAAACUAGGGCGGUUGGUACUCUAACUGCAGUGGGCGUGUAGAGACCCAAGUUCUAGUCCUUGCUUUGCUGCUACAUAGCCAUGUGACAUUGGCCAAGUCACUUGCUGAAAAAAAUGAGGGAGUGGGUCAUAUAAUCCUAAAAGUCCCCAUCAGUGUUGACACUGUGCUUAAGAGGCCGUUUAUUACUGGAAUUUACCCUUUGUGUCUUUACUUUAGGGUUUUCUUUUCUUCUGAGAGACCAGUAUUCAAUUUGCUCUGAAAGGUCAUGUAAAUGAAUUCAGGCAACAAACUGGAUAAAAAUGUUCAGAAUAUAUCUGGAUCAAAUCUCAGAUAUGGAGGUAGAUGAUGCUGAUGAAUAUUGGGAUGCCAGAAUAAGCAGGUGCUGCUCUUGUUGAUUAUAAACCAAACACCCAAGGCAAGUAUCCUCCAUUUCAUGGCCAGGGAGGAAAUUGGCUGGGAUUUUCUGUUUUAGCUAAUGUGCAGUAUUUCCCAGCAGUGAGCUUGAAGCCUUGGUUGUAACUCUGGAAUGAAGCCUCUUUAUAAAUUGGAAUAAAUGUUGCCAAGCCAAGAUCCGAGUUGGGGUUUGGAAAGACGCUGAUGCUUGUUGGGCUCUUGUUGAGUUGGUAGUGUUGGUUUCCAGGGGACCAGCGAUCACCCGAUGCACCAAGAACUUCCCAGUUGCCCAUCUCAUGCUCAGGAUCCAGAUACAAAUAAGACAUGGCUCCACCCUUUAGGAGCCCACUGUUUUGCUAGGGGCAUGGAAUAGAAAUUAAUUACUAAACACAACAUGGCCAAUUCUAUAAUGGAGGCAUAAGCAGAAUGACGUGGGAAGACAAAGGAGGAAGCGAUUGAUUCCACUAUUCUGCUCCAUAUGCCAAUGGCACCCUGCUCCCCAUCCACUAGCUCACACAGGUGUGUCCAUAUCCCAAAGGAGUGUUAUUUGAGGUGAGGCCAAGAUGUCCCAAAGCUGUGUUUCUGUGGUUUCAUCUUUGGGUAUAACAGGAUAGAAUACCAUUAUUAUUAUUGUUACUGUUCAAGGCAGAAAAUAAAGAUAACAAGAAUGAUUUGAGUUUACAUUGACUUUUCCUGAAAGCCUACACCUAGCUUACUUCCUUUAAGCUUUUCAACUUAUUAGCUGCUAAAACAGGAUGUGCACACAUUAUAAAUGUGUCCUUUUAAAAUCCCAUGCUUUUGGUUUUAAAGGAAUCUUUUCGGAUGACAUGCCUACCCAGACUAGGGAAACUAAAGAAAAAAUAAACAAGUGGGACUUUAUCAGAUUAAAGAACUUUUAUAAGACAAAUGAAACCAGAAUCAAGAUGAACAAACAACCAACCAGCUGGGAGAGAAUAUUUGCAAAACAUAUAUCUGACAAGGGGUUGAUCUCCAUAAUAUAUAAAGAACUCACACAACUGAACAACAAAAAAACAAACAACCUGAUCAAAAAAUGGGCAGAGGAAAUGAACAGACACUUC